UACGGGGGGGGCAAGCGUUGUUCGGAAUUACUGGGCGUAAAGGGCUUGUAGGUGGCCAACUAAGUCAGACGUGAAAUCCCUCGGCUUAACCGGGGAACUGCGUCUGAUACUGGAUGGCUUGAGGUUGGGAGAGGGACGCGGAAUUCCAGGUGUAGCGGUGAAAUGCGUAGAUAUCUGGAGGAACACCGGUGGCGAAGGCGGCGUCCUGGACCAAUUCUGACACUGAGGAGCGAAAGCCAGGGGAGCAAACGGG
This 253-nucleotide ribosomal RNA is filed under the name uncultured bacterium. Its description in RNAcentral is "partial 16S ribosomal RNA". It matches the Rfam family "Bacterial small subunit ribosomal RNA", at positions 524 to 776 of the family's 1533-position model. The record is from RNAcentral.